AGGAGAGCGAAAGCUUUUGGCAUUGACAUUGAACAGUCAGCUGUUGGGAAGAAGCAUAGAAAUAAGAAAAAUGUAGUAGAAGGCGGAGCAAAAGAAAAAGCUCCUCUGCGGGAAAGCCGCAAAAAGUCAGGGUCAGCUGUCCGCAUGCAAAAAUCUACAGUCGAGCUCCCUCCGAUGCUUUUAUUGCGACCGCCAGUAUAACCAAAUACUAUGAAUGUAUGUAAGUAUGUACAUGCAUACGUGCAUGUAUAGCACAUAUAGUUAGUAAAUAAAAAAUUAUGCGUUUUGGGUUAGGCUAGAUUUUAAUAAAACGGUGGAGCGCAUACGUUGCCAUCCUGUAAUCCCAAGUAGAAACCGACCCGCUGCUGCGGCUGACUUUGAUGCGCAUUUUGCUGCUGAUGCUGCUGGGAUAUAUCCUGGUACCCUGAUUCCAACUCGGUGUAGGACAUGAUUAUCCUUUGUGUUGGUGUUAGUGCGGGUUAUCCAAACAAAACAAGGAGCAAACAACAACACUGGGAAACGAUUUUCGUAUUCUGCUUUUACAUAUUUCACUCUCACACACACGCACGCGACUUUGCCGCGUGUUAAAAAUAAAAGUGUGGCUAAUAUUAUUGUUAACGAUUCUUUUUCUCUCACUGUCUUUCGGUUUACGAGUUACGAAAUCUGUUAUUGGUGUGGUUUUAUUAUUUGUAUUAUUAUUUUUUCAAUUUGGUUAGUCGUUCUAAAUUCGCCGCCGGCGGAAAGAUGGAAUGGGGUUGGGAAGGCACGCCGUCAGCUGGGUGAUUAAAAGGAUGAUCGCGAGGUCGGUCAGUUGCAUUGGGUUACGUGCUCACUAAUAAUUAAUGGUUAUUAAAUUAGUUUUCUCUCGCUUUUGAUUAUUUUUCUGCCUUUGCUGUUUUCUUUCACAGCCAACACACGCACACA
Molecule: long non-coding RNA, 924 nt
Organism: Drosophila simulans
Lineage: Eukaryota; Metazoa; Arthropoda; Insecta; Diptera; Drosophilidae
Exons: 2
Source: RefSeq, a predicted model, not a curated record